Molecule: ribosomal RNA, 1122 nt
Filed under: Sclerophytum heterospiculatum
Lineage: Eukaryota; Metazoa; Cnidaria; Anthozoa; Malacalcyonacea; Sarcophytidae
Description: partial large subunit ribosomal RNA
Rfam family: Eukaryotic large subunit ribosomal RNA
Source: RNAcentral
AAGCGGAGGAAAAGAAACUAACAAGGAUUCCCCUAGUAAUGGCGAAUGAAGAGGGAAUAGCUCAACUUGAAAAUCUCCGUUGUGUUGCAACGGCGAAUGUAGUUUCGAGAAGUACUUUCCCGGCGCAUCGAGCAUGCCUAAGUUGCUUGGAACAGCACGUCAUAGAGGGUGACAACCCCGUACGUGGCAACGCUCGAGCGCUCGCGAUGUGCUUUCGAAGAGUCGGGCUGUUUGGGAAUGCAGCCCAAAACGGGUGGUAAACUCCAUCUAAAGCUAAAUACAGGCACGAGACCGAUAGCGAACAAGUACCGUGAGGGAAAGAUGAAAAGGACUUUGAAAAGAGAGUUAAAAAGUACGUGAAACCGUUGAAAGGGAAGCGAAUGGAGUUAGCAAUUCGCCCUGCCAGAUUCAGUUGUUCGUGCUUCGCGACGUGCGCGCUCUCGAUCCGCAUGGACGUGACGUGCACGGGUGCGACGUGCGGACGGCGCACUUCUGGCGGGCGAGCGUCAGCGUCGGUCGCCGACGGGCGAUAAGGUCGCGAGGAAGGUAGACGUGCCUUCGGGCGCGUUGUUAAGACUCGCGUUCGCAUGGCUCGACGGCGACCGUGGCUCCUUCACACGGAGGCGACGCGUGCCUGGCUGGUGACUCGUGCGAUCGGUCCGGCAUGUCGACCGUGGCGGACGGCACGCCUGUGCGCUCAAACUGCUGCCGGUCGCUCGCACGGUGUUCGCACACUACGCGUCGAAGACGCUGACGACCAUACGGCUCCAUCCGACCCGUCUUGAAACACGGACCAAGGAGUCUAACAUGUGCGCAAGUCUCCGGGUGAUCGAAACCCGUGGGCGCAAUGAAAGUAAAGGUCGUCCUAGACGAUUGAGGUGAGAAGCGCGCUUCGUCUCGACGCGCGCCGCAUCAUCGACCGACCUAUUCUGCUCUCAGAAAGGUUUGAGUAAGAGCGUAUCUGUUGGGACCCGAAAGAUGGUGAACUAUGCCUGAAUAGGGUGAAGCCAGCGGAAACACUGGUGGAAGCUCGUAGCGAUUCUGACGUGCAAAUCGAUCGUCGAAUUUGGGUAUAGCGGCGAAAGACUAAUCGAACCAUCUAGUAGCUGGUUCCCUCCGAAG